UUCUUAAGGAUAGAUUCUUAAGUAAAACCUGCUCAAUGAAAAUUAAAUAGCUGCGGGAUACCGUACUAAGGUAGCAUAAUCACUUGACAAUUCAUUGUUGUCUAGAAUGAAGGGUAAAACACCUAAUUUCUAUUUUAUCUUGAAUAAUUUGAAUUUAAAUUUUUAGUAAAAAUGCUAAAAUAUCUUUUAGGGACGAGAAGACCCUACAUAAAGCUUAAAAUAAGAUAAAAAAUAAAUUUAAAAUCUUAUUUUUCAUUGGGGAAAUGAAAUAAAAAAAUUUAUUUUAAAAUAUCCAAUAAUAUUGAAUUUAAUAAGUUACUUUAGGGAUAACAGCGUAAUAAAAGUAAAAAAGUUCUUAUUUUUUAUUUUGAUUGCGACCUCGAUGUUGGAUUAAUAUACCUUUUAGAAGCAUCUUUUUAAUAAAGGUAGUCUGUUCGACUAAUAACUUAUUACA
RNAcentral lists this ribosomal RNA (454 nucleotides) under Canga renatae. Its description in RNAcentral is "partial 16S ribosomal RNA". The record is from RNAcentral. Lineage: Eukaryota; Metazoa; Arthropoda; Arachnida; Opiliones; Neogoveidae.